GACGAACGCUGGCGGCGUGCCUAAUACAUGCAAGUAGAACGCUGAAGAGAGGAGCUUGCUCUUCUUGGAUGAGUUGCGAACGGGUGAGUAACGCGUAGGUAACCUGCCUGGUAGCGGGGGAUAACUAUUGGAAACGAUAGCUAAUACCGCAUAAAAUUGAUUAUUGCAUGAUAAUUAAUUGAAAGAUGCAAUUGCAUCACUACCAGAUGGACCUGCGUUGUAUUAGCUAGUUGGUGAGGUAACGGCUCACCAAGGCGACGAUACAUAGCCGACCUGAGAGGGUGAUCGGCCACACUGGGACUGAGACACGGCCCAGACUCCUACGGGAGGCAGCAGUAGGGAAUCUUCGGCAAUGGGGGGAACCCUGACCGAGCAACGCCGCGUGAGUGAAGAAGGUUUUCGGAUCGUNAAG
This 412-nucleotide ribosomal RNA is filed under the name uncultured bacterium. RNAcentral's name for it is "bacterial SSU rRNA". It matches the Rfam family "Bacterial small subunit ribosomal RNA", at positions 28 to 430 of the family's 1533-position model. The record is from RNAcentral.